This 496-nucleotide ribosomal RNA is filed under the name uncultured bacterium. RNAcentral's name for it is "partial 16S ribosomal RNA". It matches the Rfam family "Bacterial small subunit ribosomal RNA", at positions 28 to 506 of the family's 1533-position model. The record is from RNAcentral.
GAUGAACGCUGGCGGCGUGCCUAAUACAUGCAAGUCGAGCGAACAGAUGAGGAGCUUGCUCCUCUGACGUUAGCGGCGGACGGGUGAGUAACACGUGGAUAACCUACCUAUAAGACUGGGAUAACUUCGGGAAACCGGAGCUAAUACCGGAUAAUAUAUUGAACCGCAUGGUUCAAUAGUGAAAGACGGUUUUGCUGUCACUUAUAGAUGGAUCCGCGCCGCAUUAGCUAGUUGGUAAGGUAACGGCUUACCAAGGCAACGAUGCGUAGCCGACCUGAGAGGGUGAGCGGCCACACUGGAACUGAGACACGGUCCAGACUCCUACGGGAGGCAGCAGUAGGGAAUCUUCCGCAAUGGGCGAAAGCCUGACGGAGCAACGCCGCGUGAGUGAUGAAGGUCUUCGGAUCGUAAAACGCUGUUAUUAGGGAAGAACAAAUGUGUAAGUAACUAUGCACGUCUUGACGGUACCUAAUCAGAAAGCCACGGCUAACUACGU